UACAGAGGUGGCAAGCGUUGUUCGGAAUUACUGGGCGUAAAGGGCGCGUAGGCGGCCUUCUAAGUCAGACGUGAAAUCCCCCGGCUUAACCUGGGAACUGCGUCUGAUACUGGGAGGCUUGAGUAUGGGAGAGGCGCGUGGAAUUGCAGGUGUAGCGGUGAAAUGCGUAGAUAUCCGCAGGAACACCAGUGGCGAAAGCGGCGCGCUGGACCACUACUGACGCUGAGGAACGAAAGCUAGGGGAGCAAACAGG
RNAcentral lists this ribosomal RNA (253 nucleotides) under uncultured bacterium. RNAcentral's name for it is "partial 16S ribosomal RNA". It matches the Rfam family "Bacterial small subunit ribosomal RNA", at positions 524 to 776 of the family's 1533-position model. The record is from RNAcentral.